CGAACCCAAGGCAAGGCGGGAC
This 22-nucleotide ribosomal RNA is filed under the name Amaranthus dubius. RNAcentral describes it as "partial 26S ribosomal RNA". The record is from RNAcentral. Lineage: Eukaryota; Viridiplantae; Streptophyta; Magnoliopsida; Caryophyllales; Amaranthaceae.